Non-coding RNA from Podarcis muralis (Common wall lizard), 73 nucleotides. Lineage: Eukaryota; Metazoa; Chordata; Lepidosauria; Squamata; Lacertidae. The record is from the annotation of a RefSeq genome assembly.
GCCUUCGUAGCUCAAUCUGUAGAGCCUGAGACUCUUAAUCUAAGGGUCGUGGGUUCAAACCCCAUUGUGGGCA